Molecule: ribosomal RNA, 200 nt
Filed under: uncultured bacterium
Lineage: Bacteria
Description: partial 16S ribosomal RNA
Rfam family: Bacterial small subunit ribosomal RNA
Source: RNAcentral
AGAGUUUGAUCCUGGCUCAGAUUGAACGCUGGCGGCAUGCCUUACACAUGCAAGUCGAACGGCAGCACGGGGGCAACCCUGGUGGCGAGUGGCGAACGGGUGAGUAAUGCAUCGGAACGUGCCCAGUAGUGGGGGAUAACCAAUCGAAAGAUUGGCUAAUACCGCAUACGACCCACGGGUGAAAGCGGGGGAUCGCAAGA